This is a long non-coding RNA of Xenia sp. Carnegie-2017, 403 nucleotides long. RefSeq lists it as uncharacterized. The transcript is spliced from 2 exons. Lineage: Eukaryota; Metazoa; Cnidaria; Anthozoa; Malacalcyonacea; Xeniidae. The record is from RefSeq and is a predicted model, not a curated record.
AGCAAAGAAAUGUUCACGAUGUAAUCAUCGUACUAAAGGAAGGCAACAAAUAAUUGAAUCUAAGCAUGGUAAUGCCAGUACUAUACUUUCCCAACCAAAUUUAUGAGACCAGCUUUCAAGGGGAGUAUAAGUACGUACCUAAUAGCUAAUACUACGUACCCUCCUAGCUUUAAUCAAAUAGCAAUGGUGAGGACUUCUAUACAUAAGGAUCAGGAUACACAUAUGCACAUAUGCAAAAAUAAAAUAUGGUGAUGUAAUAUACAAUGAAAUAUGUUAAAGAAUUACAAUAUAGAACUGUUGCUCUAAUAUCUUUAUGUAUAGUGGGUAAUUUUGAGAUAAUAAUAAUCAUGUAAAGACAAUACAGUAACAUCAAAUCUAUGUAAAUGAAAUGCUUUGCUGUGUA